RNAcentral lists this ribosomal RNA (1522 nucleotides) under Triticum aestivum (bread wheat). RNAcentral's name for it is "partial small subunit ribosomal RNA". The record is from RNAcentral. Lineage: Eukaryota; Viridiplantae; Streptophyta; Magnoliopsida; Poales; Poaceae.
GAUGGGCACGGGCAAGAUCACCAAACUGAAAAUAGCCAUCAGUAAUAACAACAAGACAAUCAGAGUCUAUUGCUCCAUACAUGCCGACGAGAAUGAAUCUCAUACACGGUUACUAGAAGAAAAUGGCACAAUCAUGGAUGGUAUUAAUUAAGUGGAGACAAGAAAGUGGCAACUAAAACACACAACAAUCAGGAGGAUCGGGUCCUGUCUUGUCCUCGAAAGCACAGCACACACAAGAGAAAAGAGCAGCCUGGACCGGAUCGGACCACAUACAAGGAAGGAAAUGGACAAGACAUGCAUCAGAUCAUACACACCCGCACCGCACUCAUGGCUUCACUCCUUGCUGAAGCACCCGUUCGCCAUGACCUGCCCGAGGACGCAGGGAGCAAACAUCAUCGUGUUGAGAGGGCAGGCCUUCCCGAUCUGCACCAGGCAAGCGAUGCAUGCUGCAGGGCACAGCUUGGAGUGGAUGAUGUCCUCCAUCAGUGCGAGAACCUCAAGGCUCAGCUCGUCGGAUGGUAGGACGUCGUCAUUGCCGGCCUCGGCUAGCAUCACCAGCUGGCUGGUGAGCAGAAGAGCCAGGAGGAGCAUCACCACCACCUUCCGGUCAGCCAUCUUCUUACAGCUAGAGCGCGAGUUUGUGUGGCCUGGCUGAGUGGGUGUUUACUUGUGUGUUCUGCUAGCUGUGUGUUUGGGCGGGCGUGGGCGUGCUAUUUAUAGACAGAAUCUGAGGCUCCACGAUGCACAUAUAUGUGCUCUUCUUCUUCAUUCUUACUUUCUUCUUUGACUGUGUGUGUGCAGUGACCAACCUUGAAUGAGUUUUAAUUACUUGCUACGAUUUAAAAAUGGAUACCAGUUAGUGUCCACACAGCCCAGCCUAGCCAGUGCAAACAUACAUAUUUUCAUUAGCUACCUAGGCAGGCCUGAUGAACAAAUCUCUAAAUUGAUCGAUCAAAGGUAAUUCAGUGCGUUGCAUGAAAUCAAAGGUAACCCCCUCAAUUAUAGAGUAGUAGUUUCGGCGUGAUUACAUGAAUAUUAAGAAGAAGAAUCUAAAAAGUUGGGCAACAUAAAAAAAAAUCAUGAAUAUUAAAAAGUCAUCUCGUCCAUCUAAAAAAUCAUCAAGCUGAAUAAUAAUCUAAAAGGCACGGUCUCGCGGACGGACGGACGAACAAACCAAGUUACCAUGCAUGCAAGUUGCCACGAUCAAACCACAAGGCCAUGAACCAACCUUACCUGGUCUAAAGAGAGAGCUCUUUGAAGUUGGAAGCAGGCCAGGCACAUGACAUGCCCGCCCGCCCGCCCGCCCGCUAGGAAGGAUCACUAUCUUACUUACUUUUUUGGGGGAAGAGGAGCUUUGAUCUCGUCUUGUUGUUGCGAGAGGAGGGAGACCUAAGCUAGGAUGCGCCGGCCGUAUGACACAAGGGGAGGGCCGAGAGAGAGAGAGAGAUUUGCAAGUGCAGUGGUCACGGCUUGGGUACAAAACUGAGAGAGAGAGAGAGAGAGAGAGAGGGGGGGGAGGAUG